AUCAACUUCAACAUUCACAAUGCUGUUGUGGGAGGCAGAAUUCUAAGAUGAUGCCCAUGAUUCUCACCCCCCGGUAUCCACACUGUGGUGUAGUUCUCUCCCCUUGAGUGAGGGUGGAAUCUGGGACUUGCUUCUAGAUAAUAAAGUAUGGCAAACGUGAAGGGAUUUUGCAGAUGUAAUGAAGGUCCCUUAGCAGUUGUCUUUGAGCUAAUCAAAAGGGAGAUUAUCCUGGGUGGGCUUGACCUACCCAGAGGAGCCCUUUAAAAAAGGGUCCAGACCUUCUGGAAGAUGAGACCUGAAGCAGGAUGUCUCUUCUGAUGAUUUUGAAGAAACAAACAACCAUACUGUAAACAAGCUAUGGAAUGGGUGGUCUCUAGGUUGAGAGCCUCAGUUCUCCAACCGCAAGGAACUAAACUCUGCCAACAACCUGAAUGAGCUUGGAAGAAGUCCUUGAGUCCUAUGAUGAGACCACUGCUCCUGCCUUGAUUGCAGAGGACCCAGCUAAAGCCCCACAAAACGACUUGACAUAUGAAGCUGCGCUAGCCAUCUUACAGUCAUGAAGACAAAAGCCAGUACACUAAAAAUCAUGGAUCAAAAGAAGAGAAAUAACUGAGUCUUUUGAUCAUAUUACCAACCCAAGAUUGUCUGCCUU
Molecule: long non-coding RNA, 652 nt
Filed under: Homo sapiens (human)
Lineage: Eukaryota; Metazoa; Chordata; Mammalia; Primates; Hominidae
Description: HSALNT0407048
Source: RNAcentral